AGCCCCACCUCCUUCUCCUCUCAGGGAAGCUUUUUGCUCGAAUUAUGUUUCUCAUUCAAAUAUAAGACGAACAAAAGGUUUGUCUGAGGGCAGAGUGUUUUCGCCUGGGGCA
This 112-nucleotide microRNA precursor is filed under the name Otolemur garnettii (small-eared galago). RNAcentral describes it as "microRNA 208b (ENSOGAG00000021057.2)". The stretch from base 17 to 93 matches the Rfam family "mir-208 microRNA precursor family". The record is from RNAcentral. Lineage: Eukaryota; Metazoa; Chordata; Mammalia; Primates; Galagidae.